RNAcentral lists this ribosomal RNA (432 nucleotides) under Acanthamoeba sp. RNAcentral describes it as "SSU rRNA". It matches the Rfam family "Eukaryotic small subunit ribosomal RNA", at positions 750 to 1123 of the family's 1831-position model. Lineage: Eukaryota; Discosea; Longamoebia; Acanthamoebidae. The record is from RNAcentral.
UGGCCCAGAUCGUUUACCGUGAAAAAAUUAGAGUGUUCAAAGCAGGCAGAUCCAAUUCUCUGCCACCGAAUACAUUAGCAUGGGAUAAUGGAAUAGGACCCUGUCCUCCUAUUUUCAGUUGGUUUUGGCAGCGCGAGGACUAGGGUAAUGAUUAAUAGGGAUAGUUGGGGGCAUUAAUAUUUAAUUGUCAGAGGUGAAAUUCUUGGAUUUAUGAAAGAUUAACUUCUGCGAAAGCAUCUGCCAAGGAUGUUUUCAUUAAUCAAGAACGAAAGUUAGGGGAUCGAAGACGAUCAGAUACCGUCGUAGUCUUAACCAUAAACGAUGCCGACCAGCGAUUAGGAGACGUUGAAUACAAAACACCACCAUCGGUGCGGUCGUUCUUGGCGUCGGUCUUUCGGCCGGCGCGGGGACGGCUASCCCCGUWYCCCYYWA